Molecule: ribosomal RNA, 754 nt
Filed under: uncultured bacterium
Lineage: Bacteria
Description: bacterial SSU rRNA
Rfam family: Bacterial small subunit ribosomal RNA
Source: RNAcentral
AGAGUUUGAUCCUGGCUCAGGAUGAAUGCUGGCGGCGUGCCUAAUACAUGCAAGUCGAGCGGUAAGGCCCUUCGGGGUACACGAGCGGCGGACGGCUGAGUAACGCGUGGGAACAUGCCCCAAAGUGAGGGAUAAGCACCGGAAACGGUGUCUAAUACCGCAUAUGGUCUUCGGAUUAAAGGAUUUAUCCGCUUUGGGAGUGGCCCGCGUACGAUUAGUUUGUUGGUGAGGUAAUGGCUUACCAAGACUACGAUCGUUAACUGGUCUGAGAGGAUGAUCAGUCAGACUGGAACUGAGACACGGUCCAGACUCCUACGGGAGGCAGCAGUAAGGAAUCUUCCACAAUGGGCGAAAGCCUGAUGGAGCAACGCCGCGUGCAGGAUGAAGGCCCUCGGGUCGUAAACUGCUUUUAUGAGUGAAGAAUAUGACGGUAACUCAUGAAUAAGCACCGGCUAACUACGUGCCAGCAGCCGCGGUCAUACGUAGGGUGCAAGCAUUAUCCGGAGUGACUGGGCGUAAAGAGUUGCGUAGGUGGUUAGUAAAGUGAAUAGUGAAAUCUGGUGGCUCAACCAUACAGACUAUUAUUCAAACUCACUAACUCGAGAGUGGUAGAGGUAACUGGAAUUUCUUGUGUAGGAGUGAAAUCCGUAGAUAUAAGAAGGAACACCAAUGGCGUAGGCAGGUUACUGGACCAUUUCUGACACUGAGGCACGAAAGCGUGGGGAGCGAACGGGAUUAGAUACCCUGGUAGUCC